Molecule: non-coding RNA, 94 nt
Organism: Mycena alexandri
Lineage: Eukaryota; Fungi; Basidiomycota; Agaricomycetes; Agaricales; Mycenaceae
Source: the annotation of a GenBank genome assembly
GACCCAAUGGCACAAUGGUUCGUGCGCUUGCUUUAGUUGAGGAUAUUUUGAGGGAUUCAGGCAAGAGGUCCUCGUUCGAUUCGGGGUUGGGUCA